UUGGAGGGCAAGUCUGGUGCCAGCAGCCGCGGUAAUUCCAGCUCCAAUAGCGUAUAUUAAAGUUGUUGCAGUUAAAAAGCUCGUAGUUGAAUUUCGGGGUUAGUAGGUUGGUCAUGCCUCUGGUAUGCACUGGUCUCACUGAUUCCUCCUUCCUGAUGAGCCGUAAUGCCAUUAAUUUGGUGUUGCGGGGAAUUUGGACUGUUACUUUGAAAAAAUUAGAGUGUUUAAAGCAAGCUAACGCUUGAAUACAUUAGCAUGGAAUAAUGAAAUAGGACGUUCGAUCCUAUUUUGUUGGUUUCUAGGAUUGACGUAAUGAUUAAUAGGGAUAGUUGGGGGCAUUAGUAUUCAAUUGUCAGAGGUGAAAUUCUUGGAUUUAUUGAAGACUAACUACUGCGAAAGCAUUUGCCAAGGAUGUUUUCAUUAAUCAAGAACGAAAGUUAGGGGACCGAAGACGAUCAGAUACCGUCGUAGUCUUAACCAUAAACUAUGCCGACUAGGGAUCGGAUGAUGUUAAUUUUUUAAUGACUCAUUCGGCGCCUUACGGGAAA
RNAcentral lists this ribosomal RNA (548 nucleotides) under uncultured Rhizophagus. RNAcentral describes it as "SSU rRNA". It matches the Rfam family "Eukaryotic small subunit ribosomal RNA", at positions 548 to 1097 of the family's 1831-position model. Lineage: Eukaryota; Fungi; Glomeromycota; Glomeromycetes; Glomerales; Glomeraceae. The record is from RNAcentral.